CAUUAUGCUCAUUAAGGAAGGCAACUGAGGAAGCGAGUAGCGUUUUUCGCUGAUCACGCUAUAAAAGAGAAAAGUCGAUACACAAUUUUUCAAAAAGAAGAAUCCAUAACAGAAGCAGCAAAAAACGCAAUUUUGUGCUUAAUUUUGACGUUUCAACUGAAAAAAGCCGAAAGUUUUUUAAAUAAAACUGCGUACACUGAUAAUUUCUUUGGAGAUUGCACCUUUGCCUGCGAAUAUACCGCACCGUAUAUUCCCCGGAUUAUUAGCCGGCCACAACAACAACAACAAUAUAAAUCGUGAUAGAUUUUAUGCAGAUAUCACUUAUGCUUCGUUUACGAAAUACUUCUUUUAUUGGUGCCACAAAACAAAACUCACAGAACCUUAGGAUGAUGAAGCUCCACAGCUCUUAGAGAACUCCUAUGCAUAGGAGAAUGGUGAGGCAAAAAACACCAAAAUACUGAUAACAGAACAUCGAGAAAAAAUUAUUGAAUUGCAGCUGUUUGGUGGUUAUACGUUUAAUCAAACCGCUGCCUUUGAAAUUAUGCAAGAUGAAAGACAAACUUUGCUGUAUUGCCUAUGACAUCGAGAUGGAACAGCGAGUUGUAUUGGAAACAACUUUACCCGAUGUUUGUGUGAUAAAGGUUUUGAGGCGCUAGUCUAACUGCUAUUAAUAAACGUUUAAGGACAAGACAUCACUAGGCAUCUAGUGAUACGUGUGCUCAAGAAUGAUGUGGUAAAUUAAGGAUAUGGUCUUUAUCGGCGAAGUUAUUUUGGCUGAGAUGGCAAAGUAUUGCGGUGGUUUUUGGAUGUGUGUGAAACAAGAAAAGUAAGAAAAGAGUUACAGAACAACGAACAUACAGUAGUAGCAAGGGCCAAAAGUUUUGAAAAGAAAUUUAAUAUUGUUAUUGUGUCAGGUAUAGGUUCUUCGUUUUUUUCUGUUUAUACAUAUAAUAUAUAUUUGAGUUAAAAACGAUAAGGCAGUUAAUAACAGUCCGUAUUAACAACUCGUAACAAACAUGCUAACAUGAUUAACCUAUUCGUUAAAAAAUAAAUAUGUUAUAGGUAACACAUAAAUAACCUUUUCCCUAACAAAAGUAUUUGUUCAGCGUUUGAAAAGCUGAUACUCUCGUAGUAUUUCUUUUUGCUAUUGCUCUCUCAAUGUAAAAGUAUGUGCUCUUCUCUGCUCGGAGUCUUGUUAGGUAAAAAACUAUAGCUGUAGCAAUAGCCAAAAAAGAAGAGCUUUGCUCUGGCGUAGCGGUAGCAAAAAAUUGGGAGCGAUAUGAGAGUAGAGCUAAUUAAAAUUUUCAUGUGCUACAAAAAUAUAUGUGAACAGAGGGAUUUGUUGCCACCGUUUAAUACCGCUAAUAAAAAAUGUAAAACAGAGAAAACUAAAGAAAAUGCGAAAUUGAAAUAUAUUUCAUGAAACGUUUUGCAAUGUGAUACAUAGUAAUAUUAAUUUUCAAUUACCAAUGAUUAAAAACACGUAAAAAAAUGUAGGCUUAAUUCACCUUAUUAAGUACUGAAAAGUUCAAAAGUCAGUUAUUAUAAUAUAUUAUAAAAAAAGAUUUAAAUAAUUUCGCGGUAUAUUAGAAGUCCAAUAUAAAAUAAUUUUUAAUUGUAAUAAUUGUUGGGUAUUUUAAUUUAAAUGCCUAAAAAUUAUUAUUUUGCCCGAUCAAUGGAAAAUUAUAUAAAAAACGCUUAUUUUGCUCUCACACUGGAAUAAGUUGGACAUUUCUUUAUUCCUGCUUCAUCACCAGUCACAAACACGCAAAACUCUGUUAUUUAUAUUGCGUUCAAACAGCAUUUAAGCAUUUUCAUAUGGCUGCUUCUGCGACGCUCAGAGAUUCUGUGAGGGUUUUUUAGGUUUGUAGUCAUCUUUAUCGAGUAAGGCCGCCCAGGACGUUCUUAAUCUAUUAAUUCAACAUCUCAACUUCAAAAUCGUACACACCACUUUUAGCCCGCAAGCUCAGGUGGUGCAUGCCAUUGUAGAAACAUACAAGUAACAAAGGAAUUAUAUGGUCGUCAACAGCUGAGAUCACUUGAUCUAAAUAGUUGAUUUUUCGGCACAGAGAUUUAAAUAAAAAUACUUAAAAAUAGUAAAGAGGUUGCAGUAUAGGCGCGUUAGCAAUAUUUUUUUGGGUGUUAGGUUCCCCAAGAGGUCAAAUAUAAAAUAUACAAUACUAAACAAAACUAUUUGUAAUAAUUUAAACAAAAAUAGAUAGAUUCUUCAAAUAUUUUUAAUAAAAUAGAAAAUAUUUACCAAUAUUUUGAUACAAUAAAUAAAAUUUUAAUAAAAACUAGGUAAAUUUAAUCUUUAUGAAUUUUAGUAAUCGAAAUGUAUUUGAAAAUUUAACUAUAAUGUAAUUAAAAUAAUAAAUUGGAUACCAUAACACGGCAACACACUCGUUCCUUUUCUAAGACAUUUGGCCGUUUUAGAAGUAGAAUAUUUAGGAAGUCCAAACGAACUGCCUGGGCUUUUGCCCUGAGUCUUCCCUCGUUCUAUUGCAUUCUUAAUGUAAUUUCUUUCAUUCUACAAGCUUUCGCCUGUGUAUGUAUGGGUGAAAAUGAUAGGAUUUAUUACUUGUAGGUUUAUACAAUGGUGCAUGCUCACCAUAAACUUCCACCAAAUUAGAUGUCUUUCGGCUCAAAUAUGUUUAUUUGAGACACGUAUACAUAUACAAGUACUUAUAUAUACGCAUGCACUCAAUGAAUGAAAUAUUUCCAGCUCAAUAAGGUUUUUACUUUUCCCCACCAGCGCACAUAGGAGCAUUUGGUCUCAAAAACCGGACAAAAUUAUUUAAAGUAAUUUUAUGAGUGAAAAUGCAUGAUUAAAUAUAAUAAUGCAAUAUAUUAAAAUAAAACAAGUAAGGAAGUGUGCAACCGAACAUUUUAUAUUGAAUAUAUUUGAGAAGGGGGUAGUGCCGACCAGAUUUGAUUUAUUUUUGCCCAUCCGGAAAGUAUUUACCCGAUUCAACCCAUUUUUCACACAAUGAAAUACUAUUGUCAGAAAAUGAUUCUGCGUGAAUUUCAAUUUUAUAUCUCACAAAUUGAACGAUAUUUUCGGUCAAAAGUCAACUACUGGUAUCGGCUUCACAUAUUCGGUACCAAGGGCUUGAACAGUUUUGGAUGGAUUGAGACAUUUAUUGGUCAAAAGGUAGCUUACUUUAAGGAAAUUAUUACCGCAAAAUUGUAUUCCGUUAUAUUAAUUAAUUCUUUAUUUAUGUAUUGGAAAGUGAAAGAAUCAAAUGGAAUUUUAAAUUGUGUUAGAUGGGAAGUAGGCGUGAUUGUAGUCCGAUUUCGCUCAGGACACAGGAAGAUGAAAAUAAUGUUAUGUUCCAAAUUUUGUCGAAAUUGGUCAAUCGGGUCCCGAGAUAUGGGAUUAAAUUUUAAAAAUUAAUACUGUAACUACUAAUAAUAUUACUAUUUAUUUUCACCAACUUGUUGUGCCUCCUCUUUCAAUACAACUAUGUCGUUUGAAUAAGGAAAUGUCGGAUGAUGAUUAAUCUUGCUUUGAAGUAGAUAAAUUCCGGCACCCUCAGUGUUGAGAAACCCUCCCGCGACUUUAAUGAUUACAUGUAUGUAUGUGUGAAAUAAUAAUACGUAAUUUAAAUAUUAACAAAUUGUUGUUAGCUUAUAUUCUCCCAUUUUAUUGCAAACUUUAUCAAUAUAUUCGUCAAGUGUCUUAUCAGCUUCAGGAAUUGGCAAAUCACUUACUUUUUUCACCCAUUCCGUCAACGGACUCGUCACAAAGUCCUGAGUAUUUAUGCCAUUCGUACCCAUUAAUGUCUUAAAAGUCUCCGCGUUGGUGAGCUAAAGGGAAAUACUUAAAAAUAUGUUAACCAAUUUUCGGGAACAUUACACUUACAGCAGCUAAUUGCGCAUCCGUAAAUGCUAUAGAAAAUGCUACAAAAAGUUGUUCCGUUUGUUGUUCAAAGUGGUCCCCCAACAUUUUGUGAUAUAUAGUACAUAUGUAUGUAUAUUUUGUUCUGUAUUCACUAAAAGUGAUUGGAAGGAUUAUGACUGGAGAAAAUAUUCUUUGUUUAUACAUGUAAGUCUAUUAAACGAACAAUUAACUUUAUUGUACCAGUUCCAGGUUAAUGCAUUUUUCUGAAAAUAUCGAAAAUGUUGAAAAAAGUUCAAGUUAUUUAUUUACACCUACCUACACCACCCUAUGUUUCAUUCGAUGUAUUUAUUGGGUGAGUGUCGUAUGCGUGAAAAAGCAAUAUAGGUUCUUGUUCACUUUUAACUCUCUCCAUGUUUUCACGUAAUUAUUUUGUUGCCUCGUCCUUUCGAGUAUGACCUCCGUCUACUGGUUGAUCACUAAAAGAUAGCACAAGGUAUGUAAGUUAAUAAUAUACAUUACACAAAUAUUUUUAGAAUCUCCUCUGGCGCUUCUUCUGGUAACUUUUAUAAAAACUCUAUUCAUCAUGAGGUUAACAGCCUCAUCCGUGGAUCUUCAUUGCUCCGCCAAGAAUUUCUUAUUUACCCCAAUACAGUUCUGACACUGCUUCUCUACCUUUUCUUCAUCCACUUCCAUCUCUGCACUCUUUCUGCUGUCGUAGUCCAAGCCAGACUUAAAUCUCCGCUCCUGCUGUCUAGUUGUGGAGUCUAAUCGCAUUUAAACGUCGAAUUUAAUAACGCUAUUGACACCAUUUUACUUUCCGAUUCUUUGGCGCCGCUUUGAAGGUACCGUUGGGAAGAGGAAGUCCUCCUGAUUAAAAAAUAUGUGAAGUUAUAGGUACCUUAAACGCUUAGUUUACGAGAUAUUCGACUUUAAAGUUCAAACAUUCUCAAAAUUCGAACAUUUCAACAAGCUAUAUCACUACAUUUAACUCUUGUUAUACAAAUUUUUUUAUUUCAAAUUCAUUUAAUUAAACAUGUAAACAUUUAAAGAAAUUCACAAUUUACCCUUUUUGAAAGUUUUAUAUGCAAGAAAUCUAUAUUUUAAAAAUCACUUUUUACACUUGUAGUGAGCACCAUUUAUGUGCUAACAAUUAUGAGGAAAUGGAAC
Long non-coding RNA from Bactrocera dorsalis (oriental fruit fly), 5011 nucleotides. RefSeq lists it as uncharacterized. The record is from RefSeq and is a predicted model, not a curated record. NCBI's taxonomy places the organism in Eukaryota, Metazoa, Arthropoda, Insecta, Diptera, Tephritidae. The transcript is spliced from 6 exons.